UACGAGUGCUCCAAGCGUUAUCCGGAAUCAUUGGGCGUAAAGGGUGUGUAGGCGGUUGUGUUAGUCUUUUGUUAAAUUCUUCGGCUUAACCGGGGGCAUGCAAAGGAAACGGCACAACUAGAGGAUGCGAGAGGUGAAUGGAACUCAUGGAGUAGGGGUGAAAUCCGUUGAUAUCAUGGGGAACACCAAAUGCGAAGGCAAUUCACUGGCGCACUCCUGACGCUGAGACACGAAAGCGUAGGUAGCGAAUGGG
RNAcentral lists this ribosomal RNA (253 nucleotides) under uncultured prokaryote. Its description in RNAcentral is "partial 16S ribosomal RNA". It matches the Rfam family "Bacterial small subunit ribosomal RNA", at positions 524 to 776 of the family's 1533-position model. The record is from RNAcentral.